UGGGGAAUAUUGCACAAUGGGCGCAAGCCUGAUGCAGCAACGCCGCGUGAGUGAAGAAGGCCUUCGGGUCGUAAAACUCUGUCCUAAGGGAAGAAGAAGUGACGGUACCUUAGGAGGAAGCCCCGGCUAACUACGUGCCAGCAGCCGCGGUAAUACGUAGGGGGCAAGCGUUAUCCGGAAUCACUGGGCGUAAAGGGUGCGUAGGCGGCUGAUCAAGCCAGGGGUGAAAGGCUGUGGCUUAACCAUGGUAAGCCUUUGGAACUGGUCAGCUUGAGUGCAGGAGAGGAAAGCGGAAUUCCUAGUGUAGCGGUGAAAUGCGUAGAUAUUAGGAGGAACACCCGUGGCGAAGGCGGCUUUCUGGACUGUAACUGACGCUGAGGCACGAAAGCGUGGGGAGCAAACAGG
This 405-nucleotide ribosomal RNA is filed under the name uncultured bacterium. Its description in RNAcentral is "bacterial SSU rRNA". It matches the Rfam family "Bacterial small subunit ribosomal RNA", at positions 355 to 776 of the family's 1533-position model. RNAcentral also lists the same sequence under 1 other name. The record is from RNAcentral.